UGGCUAACUCCUACGGGAGGCAGCAGUGGGGAAUAUUGGACAAUGGGCGCAAGCCUGAUCCAGCCAUACCGCGUGGGUGAAGAAGGCCUUCGGGUUGUAAAGCCCUUUUGUUGGGAAAGAAAAGCAAUCGAUUAAUACUCGGUUGUUCUGACGGUACCCAAAGAAUAAGCACCGGCUAACUUCGUGCCAGCAGCCGCGGUAAUACGAAGGGUGCAAGCGUUACUCGGAAUUACUGGGCGUAAAGCGUGCGUAGGUGGUUGUUUAAGUCUGUUGUGAAAGCCCUGGGCUCAACCUGGGAAUUGCAGUGGAUACUGGGCGACUAGAGUGUGGUAGAGGGUAGUGGAAUUCCCGGUGUAGCAGUGAAAUGCGUAGAGAUCGGGAGGAACAUCCAUGGCGAAGGCAGCUACCUGGACCAACACUGACACUGAGGCACGAAAGCGUGGGGAGCAAACAGGAUUAGAAACCCCUGUAGUCCAGCUGG
Molecule: ribosomal RNA, 481 nt
Filed under: uncultured bacterium
Lineage: Bacteria
Description: bacterial SSU rRNA
Rfam family: Bacterial small subunit ribosomal RNA
Source: RNAcentral